This is a long non-coding RNA of Ornithodoros turicata, 1403 nucleotides long. RefSeq lists it as uncharacterized. Lineage: Eukaryota; Metazoa; Arthropoda; Arachnida; Ixodida; Argasidae. The transcript is spliced from 4 exons. The record is from RefSeq and is a predicted model, not a curated record.
UAUUGUGUAACUAAUGCUUUCGCCAACUUUGUUCCCGCUUUGUUUGCGAUUUUCGUGCCAGUGCACGUCGGGUGCUGGUUGCUGUUGUCCGGGCAUCCCCGCCAUUUUCUAUCUUCUUCUGCCUUGGGAACGGUUGUAGCGCUGGCGUGAUUCUUAAUAAUUUUGUUGUGAGAUUAGUUGAGAAAGUAAGCGCUAGGGGGUGAAGCUGCGGGGCUUUAUACAGGACAAAAAAGCAUUACGAGUCAGUUUCUGCCUGCCUCUCGGAUGGAGCAGUCGCAUGGUUCUGCGCUCCUGUUCUGGUGGGCUCAUUUGUUGUGUAACUAAUUCUUUUUGUUGUUAGCUAUUGAUGGUUUGCAUACUCUUGCUUUCCCAUCCUCUGUAUUACGAGUGUUUUUCUCCUUGCAUGCCCAGAGCUGUCCUAACCUGCCCAGACAUGUCAUGAUGACGUCACAGCUGACGUCACAGGAUGUCCGGAACUGGUGGUCAUAGCUGCGAUGCUUUGCAACCUGCUUCUGUGCUCCGUCGCCCAGCGACGGUCAGCGGCCUUUCCGGGCCGCUUUCUUCACGAUGACGUCGUUGAUCUCCAACUAAACUCCUUCUCUCCACUCUAUCUCUAUCAAUUUUUUUUAUUUUUUAUGGACUCUCAUAGUGCACAACGCUCGGGUGGUCUGGACACGAGUUAGAUGUUCCCCAAUUAGUGUGGUGGCUCCCUGGAGGGUGCUGAUUAAUGUGGGGGGUCCCAAUUAGCUCUAAUUGCUAAUUAAUGGCGUCCAGAAGCCUUGUAGCGUUGUGCACUGUGAGAGUCCAGUACCUACUACUGAAAGAAACAAGGAUAUGAUUCUGCGUCGUAAUGGGUUUUUGUUGUUUGUUCGGAGCAGCGGCUGCAGUGUUGCGUCCCGUCAGACCAUGAGAGAGCAAAUGAGGAUAUGAAUUUGCGUCGUAAUGGCGGCUGCAGUCUUGCGUCCCGUCAGGCAAGUGUACACUUCGUGGCUGGUGUUGAUUCUGCUAAUUUCAUUUUCCUUCAUGCAGGCUCUACUUUGUUGAACACUAAGCUGGGUGAACCAACUUUGUUGUUGCUAUGACCGUAUUGCUCAGUUUUACUCACUUGUGUUUGAACGUUACUAAUUUGCGAUUGCACGCCCUAUUUCAGACACAUAUCUCUCCAGCGCUUCAGAGAUGUCACUGGCGCCGAAAUGCCAGCUGUUUCACCGUGGGUCGCCAGAAGAACAGCAGAUCAUUGACUGUCAAUUGUGCGUCGCUACACUAUGUGUCACGAAGGAUGUGUAUGUGUGAAAUACGUAACUACUGUGUGCGCGGGAUGUUUUGUAUGAUUGUGUCGACACUCGAUACCACUUUCAAGGUAUGCAUUUUCGGAAUAAAGUAAAUACAUGUUUAAUUUUGCA